GACGAACGCUUGCGGCGUGCUUAACACAUGCAAGUCGAACGGAAAGGCCCUGCUUUUGUGGGGUGCUCGAGUGGCGAACGGGUGAGUAACACGUGAGUAACCUGCCCUUGACUUUGGGAUAACUUCAGGAAACUGGGGCUAAUACCGGAUAGGAGCUCCUGCUGCAUGGUGGGGGUUGGAAAGCUUCGGCGGUUGGGGAUGGACUCGCGGCUUAUCAGCUUGUUGGUGGGGUAGUGGCUUACCAAGGCUUUGACGGGUAGCCGGCCUGAGAGGGUGACCGGCCACAUUGGGACUGAGAUACGGCCCAGACUCCUACGGGAGGCAGCAGUGGGGAAUAUUGCACAAUGGGCGGAAGCCUGAUGCAGCAACGCCGCGUGCGGGAUGACGGCCUUCGGGUUGUAAACCGCUUUCGCCUGUGACGAAGCGUGAGUGACGGUAAUGGGUAAAGAAGCACCGGCUAACUACGUGCCAGCAGCCGCGGUGAUACGUAGGGUGCGAGCGUUGUCCGGAUUUAUUGGGCGUAAAGGGCUCGUAGGUGGUUGAUCGCGUCGGAAGUGUAAUCUUGGGGCUUAACCCUGAGCGUGCUUUCGAUACGGGUUGACUUGAGGAAGGUAGGGGAGAAUGGAAUUCCUGGUGGAGCGGUGGAAUGCGCAGAUAUCAGGAGGAACACCAGUGGCGAAGGCGGUUCUCUGGGCCUUUCCUGACGCUGAGGAGCGAAAGCGUGGGGAGCGAACAGGCUUAGAUACCCUGGUAGUCCACGCUGUAAACGGUGGGUACUAGGUGUGGGGUCCAUUCCACGGGUUCCGUGCCGUAGCUAACGCUUUAAGUACCCCGCCUGGGGAGUACGGCCGCAAGGCUAAAACUCAAAGGAAUUGACGGGGCCCCGCACAAGCGGCGGAGCAUGCGGAUUAAUUCGAUGCAACGCGUAGAACCUUACCUGGGUUUGACAUGGAUCGGGAGUGCUCAGAGAUGGGUGUGCCUCUUUUGGGGUCGGUUCACAGGUGGUGCAUGGCUGUCGUCAGCUCGUGUCGUGAGAUGUUGGGUUAAGUCCCGCAACGAGCGCAACCCUUGUUCACUGUUGCCAGCACGUUAUGGUGGGGACUCAGUGGAGACCGCCGGGGUCAACUCGGAGGAAGGUGGGGAUGACGUCAAGUCAUCAUGCCCCUUAUGUCCAGGGCUUCACGCAUGCUACAAUGGCUGGUACAGAGAGUGGCGAGCCUGUGAGGGUGAGCGAAUCUCGGAAAGCCGGUCUCAGUUCGGAUUGGGGUCUGCAACUCGACCUCAUGAAGUCGGAGUCGCUAGUAAUCGCAGAUCAGCAACGCUGCGGUGAAUACGUUCCCGGGGCU
Molecule: ribosomal RNA, 1346 nt
Filed under: uncultured bacterium
Lineage: Bacteria
Description: partial 16S ribosomal RNA
Rfam family: Bacterial small subunit ribosomal RNA
Source: RNAcentral